GCAGCAGGCGCGCAAAUUACCCAAUCCUGACACAGGGAGGUAGUGACAAGAAAUAACAAUACAGGGCUAAUGUCUUGUAAUUGGAAUGAUGGUGACCCAAACCCUCACCAGAGUAGCAAUUGGAGGGCAAGUCUGGUGCCAGCAGCCGCGGUAAUUCCAGCUCCAAUAGCGUAUAUUAAACUUGUUGCAGUUAAAAAGCUCGUAGUUGAAUUUUAGCGUGUUCGAGUUUGCCAUUCGUUUG
RNAcentral lists this ribosomal RNA (241 nucleotides) under Babesia vogeli. RNAcentral's name for it is "partial small subunit ribosomal RNA". It matches the Rfam family "Eukaryotic small subunit ribosomal RNA", at positions 425 to 669 of the family's 1831-position model. The record is from RNAcentral. Lineage: Eukaryota; Apicomplexa; Aconoidasida; Piroplasmida; Babesiidae.